Molecule: long non-coding RNA, 557 nt
Organism: Suricata suricatta (meerkat)
Lineage: Eukaryota; Metazoa; Chordata; Mammalia; Carnivora; Herpestidae
Exons: 4
Source: RefSeq, a predicted model, not a curated record
UCCUCUUGCUGCGUUUGCUCCUGAAGCUCACUUUAUGGCAAACACAGUCUGAGCUGCCUUAUGAAUGGAAGACUCAGGAUGUGCUCGCUGCUGGCUGAGAAUGGAGCUGAGAACUCGGUACCAUUCAAGAACGGGUCCCCAUUACCUCUGGUCUCCUUCCCUGAUGACCAUCCGCUCUGAGUCGCCUGUCGCCUCUCUGGAGUCAGCUGGCAGUAUCAAAGCCAAGACCGUAUGAAGAAGGCCAGAGGGAGACAGACAGAGAGAACAGCGGGGGCAGGCGGGCAAAUGCAUCUGUGGUCUCGGGUAUUUCUGCCAGAACCAACACACUGCUGUUUGUAUGAAUGAUUUUAUUUUAUGUGACCGAUCUCUACAUGAUGGACAUAUGGUUAUUCCAGUGUUUUCUACUGACAGCCACUGCUGUGAUGAACAAGCAGGAGCCUAGGCUGUUUUGCUGCAGAUCCUGGAGAACUUGUGUCCAAGACUUUUUGUUGGGUUUUGUUUUUGUUUUUCUCUUUUAUCCAAGAGCAAGAUAAAAGAAUCUUUGGCCUGCAAAUGCC